AGGAUCAUAGCUCAAUGGUUGAGCAGCUGUUUCGCAUGCAGAAGGACCCAGGUUCAAAUCCAGAUCCCCUGUCUGAAAUCCUG
Non-coding RNA from Podarcis lilfordi (Lilford's wall lizard), 83 nucleotides. Lineage: Eukaryota; Metazoa; Chordata; Lepidosauria; Squamata; Lacertidae. The record is from the annotation of a GenBank genome assembly.